RNAcentral lists this unclassified non-coding RNA (351 nucleotides) under uncultured fungus. RNAcentral describes it as "sequence contains ITS1". The stretch from base 1 to 102 matches the Rfam family "5.8S ribosomal RNA", at positions 50 to 154 of the family's 154-position model. The record is from RNAcentral. Lineage: Eukaryota; Fungi.
GAAGUGCGAUAAGUGUCAUGACUUGCAGAUCCCCGAGAGCUGACAAAUUUCUGAAUGCAAAUGGCGACCAACUUACCAUUGGCCAUGUAUUGCAGAGUGUAGUUGUUCAUACUCAUCAUCCUCCCUGAACCUCAAGGGUUCCGUGUGAGGGAUCUGCGCUUGUGUGGGCUCCCCUACGCGAGCGUGAAACGUCAGAGUGGAUGCCUUGCUUCUCUCACAGGAGGGAAGGCUCCAACUUCGGAAGGUACUAUAUACUCUUUUAGAAGUUCCCCCAUACUCUGUCUCUCGUCCCAGAGAGAACCCUAUUUUUUCUAUUCACCUCUGCAAUGCAGGAAAACCCGCUGAACUUAA